This 449-nucleotide ribosomal RNA is filed under the name uncultured bacterium. RNAcentral's name for it is "partial 16S ribosomal RNA". It matches the Rfam family "Bacterial small subunit ribosomal RNA", at positions 29 to 523 of the family's 1533-position model. The record is from RNAcentral.
AACGAACGCUGGCGGCAUGCCUAACACAUGCAAGUCGAACGAGAUCUUCGGGUCUAGUGGCGCACGGGUGCGUAACGCGUGGGAAUCUGCCCUUUGGUUCGGAAUAACAGUUGGAAACGACUGCUAAUACCGGAUGAUGACGAAAGUCCAAAGAUUUAUCGCCAGAGGAUGAGCCCGCGUAGGAUUAGCUAGUUGGUGUGGUAAAGGCGCACCAAGGCGACGAUCCUUAGCUGGUCUGAGAGGAUGAUCAGCCACACUGGGGCUGAGACACGGCCCAGACUCCUACGUGAGGCAGCAGUGGGGAAUAUUGGACAAUGGGCGAAAGCCUGAUCCUGCUAUGCCGCGUGAGUGAGGAAGGCCUUAGGGUUGUAAAGCUCUUUUACCCGGGAUGAUAAUGACAGUACCGGGAGAAUAAGCUCCGGCUAACUCCGUGCCAGCCGCCGCCGUAA